CCUUCCACCUCACCUCCCCUCCUCUUGCCCUCAUUCCCAUGCCCUCCCACUUCCUUCCCCACCCAUCCUUCCCCUCCCUCUUACUCAUUCUCUUCUCUACUUCCUCUCACUUCCUCUUCCCCUCCCGUCCUCCCCUGUCCCCCUCUUCAAACUUAAUUUUGGUAAAGAAAUUUUAAUCCAGCCACAUAGCUGCUCCCGCAAGGGGUCACAUCCAAAGACCUUCCGGGUCUCUGUGAUCCAGCUGGCAUGACACACCUUUAAUCCCUCUGUCUGGAAUACAGUCACUUGACAUUUCCUUAGACAUGCCUUUAAUCCCAAACAAUGACAUCGAAUUGUCAGGCAGACAAAGGGAUGAAUCAGAGAAAGAUUUGACAGAAUGAGCCAGCCAUAGGAGGUGUCUAACUCUCAUGAGAGCAAAUAGGAAAGAGAGGGGCUACCUAAGAGCAGAGCAGGGUGUUGAGUGCGGUUGGGUUGAGUUCAGUUCAGUUCAGUUCCAUCCAGUUCAGUUGAGUACAGUUGAAUUUGUGCAUAUUUAUUCAUUUCCCUUAGGUUCUGUUCAGUGUGUGCAGUCAGUGAAGUCAAUGAAGUUCAGUUUAUAGAAUUCAGAGGCAGUUUUUCCAAGCAGAACAACAAUUUAGUAAGAAGCCAAGAGAAACCAGUUUGAAUCAGUCAACUUGGAGAGGAGUUUGGGCCAGAACGGCUAAGUUGAGCCAGCCAGCCAGCCAGAGCUCAGAAAGAGGUAGAAAGAGUAAAUUUAUUCAGCAGUAAGCUCCAAGAUGGAAAUUACAUCUGGCGAAUAAAAGUUACAUUUACAAAUUCGUAUCCAUCUCCUUCCCCUCCCUCUCCAACCACUCCCCUUUUACUCUUCUUCGUUGACUCUCUACUUUCCUUUAAUUUAUACUUCUGUUCCCUUCCCCUACUCCCCAUCCCCAUCUCCUCCUCCUCUCCCUCUCUCCUCCCCACCAUUCUUCAUUCAUAUCCCCCACCCAGCUUCAAGUUCCCAUUCCUAGCUUCUGGGUUCACUAUUGAUACAGCCUUCCCUACAGAAGGAAAGUGGGUUUCUCAAGGAUUCGGUUCUCCAUUCAACUCAGGAGCACUUGGUAAAUUGCUAAGAGUUCAAGCAUCAUCCCUCCUGCAGGUGUGCUGAGCACCUGCCCUGUCUGUGCAGAAGAUUCCCACCCAUGAGUCAUACGGGAUACCCAGCUAGGGAGGACCAGAGAGAGAGAGGACGUGAAACCACCAGGGAGAUCUUGAAGCCCCAGAGAAGGAUGCAGCUGAGUAGCCUGUGGUCUAGCAGAUGGAGGAGUGGUGGUACUGAGCAGUGAGGAAUGGUUGCUCCCCAGAUGGUGGCACUGCUGUGGGAAGUUAUGGGACCUUCAGGAGGCGGAGCCUUGCUGGAGAAAGUGAGCCACCAGCACAUUCUACAAUCUCAGUGCUAGACAGGCAUGAGGAUUCCUGGGUCUGACUAGCCGGCCAGCGUAGUGGAUACUUCCCACUCCGAUACAGCGAAAGACUAUUUCUCAAACAAUGAGCCCCAGAGUCUGCUUGAGUCUGUGCUCCUCACGUCUCCUUGGCAAGGAGGGCCUACGGGAGAAACAUCCGGUUACAACACUCCAGACACAACUUUGUGUCCUCUGCUGUCCGCGGAUCAGAGACAACUUGUCCACAGCCACUCCCUGUAGCUUACUCAUCAACCACACGGUGCGGGACCUCUCUGUGCUCUCUGAAAGGCGUAGAAUGGAGCUCGCUCUGCUUUGCAGGUCUGAGCUCUCCUUAAAGCCCCCGGUACAUUGUCUGUUCGCUGUAUUAAGAAACCCCCUGCUACAUUUCUUACUCAAAAGCAUGCUCCGCCUCAGUGUCCCUCCUGACAAACCUUGACAUGCCUCUCUCGUCUCUUCCUUUUCUGAUGGAAGUAAUGUGGUCCCCAAGUUCCAAGCCGCCCCUUUCCAGUGUCCUCCCUACAAGAUCCAGACCUUACAUUUUCUCUGACAGAACUGUGCUCCUAUCCAAUCUACUGUGGUCUAAAAUAAGAACUGUGCCACACAGGCUCAUGGAUCUGCAUGCUUGGACCCCAGCCAGUGGCACUGUUUGGGAUGGUUUGAGGAGGCGGGGCCCACCUAGAAGGAGGGAGUCACUGGGGCUAGGUUCUAUAGCUUAUGAAUAACCUCUCUGACCUUUAAAUGGACUCUCCAAAAACAGGGGGCUAAAACAACCUCAUACAGAUUUGGAAGAGCACACUGGGAAGAUGGGAGGAGAGAGGCACCAUGGGUAUUACAGUCCACUCGUGAUGGGCUGGCUAUUAAAUCCACCCAUUCUACAAACAAAAUGAUUUCCUCAGCAAAUUUAAGGCCUAAUGGGGAACACGGAGUUUUCCUUUUUCAGAGGAGAAACAAAUGAACUAAUUCCCUUGGAGGGUUUUGUCUUGUCUUGGUUUCGUUCUGCUCUGAGCUGCUCUGGCUUGGGAAGCUCUUUAAGUUAAUCCUUGGAAAGACAUCCUUCUGAACCAGAGAUAGCCUCCCACCUUCCAAGGCACCCUUCCAGAGGGGAAAUUGCAUUGUGUUUGCUAUACCCUCGUCACUGCUAACUGUUAUCUGCAUCCAAAGAGGAACACAAGGCAGUUCAUAUUCCAGACGCCGGAUGUGUCACUUAUGUUUCUAAGGGCCCAGGGAUGUUUCCUUAUUGUUCGUGUGACUCUGCCUAUAUUUCAUAAACUGCUGGUGCGUAAAAUUA
Rattus norvegicus (Norway rat) is the source of this 2730-nucleotide non-coding RNA. The record is from RefSeq and is a predicted model, not a curated record. Lineage: Eukaryota; Metazoa; Chordata; Mammalia; Rodentia; Muridae.